Molecule: long non-coding RNA, 6883 nt
Filed under: Triticum aestivum (bread wheat)
Lineage: Eukaryota; Viridiplantae; Streptophyta; Magnoliopsida; Poales; Poaceae
Description: long non-coding RNA (TAES_LNC017854)
Source: RNAcentral
UUUUCUUUUUUUGUUUUUCUAAAACAGAACUUUGACUAAACUUUCACUGGCUAUAACUUUUUAAAUAUAAGUCCAAUUGAUUUGAUUCUUUGUCUGUUGUUUCUCAAAUUCUGUCUAGUUUAUUUUUAUAUUUAUUUGAAAAUUUUCCAGACACCUUUUUUGUACUGUUUUAAAAUUAUGUGUUAAUUUAAAUUUCCUCAAAAUAGGAUUUUGGAGAGAGAAGAAAACUUUCAAAAAAGUUUUUGGGAUGCACCCUGCCUCUCCACAACUUGAAGGCAAGCAUUCUGAACCCUGGCAUAAUAUUUUUUUUGUGUGGUUACAACACCACCUUGAGAUGGAGCAUUCGUUAUUUUAUGUGACGAUACAAUCAUGCGCAUGAGUGAAUAAUGAAGAUGCUUUGCUGUUAGAGAUGGAUAUGCUUGUGAUAGUAAUCAUCUUCGUAUGCCUUUCAUGCCUACCGGAAGGAAGCCGGGAAAGUCUCUGUCUUGGGUAGACACGAGCUUGUCCCUAGUUCCUCGUCGAGACGAGUGUGUCCGGUAUGGCAUGAUGAGGUAUGAUGAGUGGUGAUUCUAUCUGUUUAUUGAAAUAUUUUUGUUAUGCUAACCAUGCAGGGAAUACUUAAACCUCCUAAGUCGACCAUAGAUCGAGUCUUGUUCCAGUAACCCCCAUACUUGUUUCCUACUACCACUUGUCCCUGCCACAAGUAGGGUACGGUUCAGUAAGUUGUCAACCCCUUCCUAGCACACACCGUACAGAGACGCCAUGGUGGAAGAUACCGGAGGCCACCGGUAGGCAUGCCACCUGGUCCGGGGGCAUGGGUGUUUCGGUUGUAGCCGAAGGGGUAGCUCCCCUAGUUUGCGCGCGGUAUAAAUUUUGUGAUCCCAUGCUAAGUCGAGGUUGUUGCCUCCCCACUUAGAGUUUUGCUUAAUGGGUGUCGUGGGUGAUUCCAGAGACCGGUAAGUUAGGCUGGUGUGUGAUGUUAGGUGUGUUUUCAAUUAAAAGACCGUAGACGGAAUUAGUCCCGAUGGACUAAAGGAAUCCGUUACGCGUGGGUAAAGAGUACACCCUCUGCAGAGAUUAAACAUCUAUUCGAAUAGCCGUGUCCAUGGUUAAGGACUACAGUCUGGGACGGGUCAAGUGUCGGUCUUAGUGUCGGUCUUCGGAGGAAAAACUGCUAAACCAGAACAUUGAUUAUGACCUGUGACACAUGAGGAUUAUGAUUAUUAUUAUUAUGGACUAACCAUUUACAUUAUUUGAAUUAUUGAGUAUCCCUGGGACGGUUCUACCUCCUGGAUACUCACUGCGAUUAUUCUCUUAUAAGCCCUUUAUGUGGUGUCGCUCAGACGCCCGACUGUGGCAUGCUUGUUAUUUAAAUUACUUAUAAGCCCUUUAUGUGGUGUCGCUCAGACGCCCGACUGUGGCAUGCUUGUUAUUUAAAUUACUUAUAAGCCCUUUAUGUGGUGUCGCUCAGACGCCCGACUGUGGCAUGCUUGUUAUUUAAAUUAAUUAUAAGCCCUUUAUGCGGUGUCGCUCAGACACCCGACUGUGGCACGCUUGUUAUUUUAAAUUAUUUAUAAGCCCUUUUUGUGGUGUCGCUCAGACGCCCGACUGAGGCAUGCUUUAUAUUAUUAUCCUUUCGAGGCGUCGCUUCAGACACCCGAUCGGUGCAUUCUAUUUCUGCUCCCUUAUUGCAUAUUCAUAUGAACAACCUGCUUGCAUGCAUCAUGGAUUUUUAUUUCGUGGCUGACGUUGUGAUCAUAGAAUAUUUCAGAGCAUGAUCAUCAUUUGUUAUAUUAUACCUGUGUUCAUAAUGUUUGCGAGUACAUUCAAAGUACUCACUGGCUUGUCCCUGGCUAUUGUCUUGGCCAGAAUUCUUGCGUGGAGAGGAGCGUUGCGACGACAGCCCCGGAACCUACACAAUGAUGAUAGCAGCCUCACAAAGAUAGGAGUUAUCCUGGUCAGCUGUUCCUGUGGGAAAUGGAGUCCCAUGGCCACUGAUGUACCACAAACCGCUUCCGCCAUCAACCACUAGAAACCAUUUGUUGUACUCAUAGGCCAGAAUGGUCUUGUACCACAUAUUUUGUAUUUUGCUAGGAAUUUCUGUAUCAAGUUGGUGCCUCAUCAGCUAACAGUAAUCCUGGGGCUGGUGAGCACAAGGACCAUUUUUGGGAAAUUGAUACCCCGAAAAUCCGGUCCUGACAAACUUGGUAUCAGAGCUAGGCUGACCAUUGGCUAAUCCUAUCUUAGCCAAGUCAAUAAACCUAGGUUAACCAACCCACCAGACCUUAACCUAACCCCGGCCAAGCUUCUCGUGUAAGAUAGCCACGCAGUGACCCCGACGCUUUUCGCAGUCGGUGCCCAACCUGUCAGCCUAGCCCGUCGAUCACGCGCCAGUGACCGACACCUAAAAUGUCUCAUUCGCAAGCGUGCAAAGGAAGACUCCGUCCCCUUUUUUCUAUAAAAAGGGCACGCUAGCCUCAACCCAGCACAACACAGCCUCUACCCCAAACCAAGCUAAAAUGCUUGGACCCAUUGUUCACAAUGAGACCACAGCAACCAACCUUGGAGGUUUUGUGACCGUGCUCGCAAACCUCACCCGCCGUGCCUAUGCAUUAGAAGAGCCCCCAGAAUAUGUUGUGUACCAUGGACCCAUGAGCGGUGAGAGCCGUCAAUUCUGGGCCACUGUACACAUCUAUGGUAGGGGUCUAUCGCCAGAACGCCCCUACAGGUUCACUGGAAGGACAACUUCCUUUGAGCCACAAGCCAUCCAGCUAGCAGCUCGAGAGGCUAUAGUUCAACUCCGGCACUUGUCGCCCAGAGUUAACUGUCGCUCAUUCUACUACUACCCUAGCCGUGAAGGGUAUGGUAGGCCGCCCCAGGUUGCCAACAGAGAUCACGAGACGGAUCCUGCAUUGUUGCAUCUGGUGCGCUAUGUAAGUGCACUAGAGGAACUGUUCGAUCAGAUCACCCUUGAUCUGAUCGCAGCUCGUGGAGAACUGGUUCGCCGAGCCCCGGCAAGAAGAGAAGAUGAGCCCGACGCCGACAACCCAGUCGUGCUGUUCGGACAACCGAUCGAGUCCUUGAGGACUGCCCCAGCCAUCGACCAAAAUGCUUUGGUGUCCCCAGAAGUGCUUCGUCGCCUUUUGGGAACACGCUCCAAUGGGAUUGUGGCCAACAACCCCCGCGAUGGUCAUCAUCGCUACCCCGACCCUGCAGCCCCUCAACCUCAUCCAGCUAAUCCCAACGGUGAAACCCGUGGAGAAGCCUCGACGUCCACAAGGCAAGCCCGCUUAGAUAUUAACGAAGUAGACUAAGUCACUCGAGUAGUACCGAGCCUUAGUAUUUCUACGCCUUGUAAUUGUGUGAUCAUGUAUCACCAUGAUUCAAUUUUGUCUGCUGGUGCGCCCCUAUAUUGUAAUAGUAGCCAUGCAUGAGUACGUUAGCGUACAGUUGCAUUUUUUUUAAAUUCCGGGCGCAGCUACCAAAAACCACCCCGACGACACCCACAGUGAUACAUCACUUUUGUGGGAUAUGUGGCAUUGACCCCGACCCCAUAGAGCAGAACCGACAAACUAGUUACCCUUCACCACGGUAAAUAACCCAGCCCCAAUGCUAUAUAAAAGGCCACCUCGUGACCUUGCCAAGCACCCCUCACCUUGUGCACAACUCUCACGGCCAUUUCCUUGCCAUGCCGACCCCCAGUAUUUAUCUGAGAACUCCAGACGCAACCUCGGGUAGUUUUGUUAAAAUAUUGUGGGAUUUUACCUGCAGUACCAUGAGUGCUAUCCAUCCACCCCAGUACGAGUUGCUCAAAUCGAGGAUCACCCCAUCCACCUCGAAAUAUUGGGCAGUGGUGCACAUCCCUCCCGCAAACCCAAACCAAGACCCAACGGAAGUCUCCUUCGUGGGGAAAUCCAUGCCGACUCCGCAUAUGGCCAUAGAAGCUGCUGCGUACGAAGCGCUUGCUCGUCUUCGAUUCGCGGUGCCCUAUGCCAGCGAACGAGGGUAUUAUUAUUUUCCGAGUCGUGCAGCACCCAGAGAAGUAGCAUCUUUUCCCGGUGGACGAAUCGAAAGAGACCCAGUACUGGCCAACCUUGCCCAGUAUGUUAUCGCUCAAGAGCAUUUGACUCAGCGGGUAAUGGGUUAUCUCCAGAGCCUCGCUGAUUUAAAUCCUCAGAUUGCCAUCGACAGACCACUGAGGCCCGACCAGGAGAGACGCAUCCAUCGACUAGUCAAUCCGCUUCCCCCGAUAGAAGAGGAGUGUGCCCCAAUACCAGAGACGUUUUCUCAGGACCCUGUCUAUUUACCGUUUUCAUUGUAGACAUCACUGCUAUGUUCAUUGUCCCAGCAUUUAUUUAUGCGUUGCAGCUUAUGCGUCGUACCCUAAGUUUGUGCUAUGAGUAAACUGUUUGGUUUCAGCUGGUAGGAGUAAUGUUUUCAAAACAGCCCUUAGCAAAUCUCGAGGACGAGAUUUUUCUUCAGGGGGGUAGUGUUGUAACACCCCAAAAUUUUGACCUUGAUUUAUUAAUUAAAAUUUUGCCAGGAAAUUAAAAAAUUUAUUUUCUGGUUUUAUGUGUUAAUUUCAGAUAACUCUGUCCCUCUGAAUUUUGGAGUUUUUCUUUCUAGAUGGAAACCUUUCAAAAAUAUUGUUGGACUUGUAUAUCUUCCCAAGACCAUUUCUUUUAUCAGUGGAAUUAUUUCUACAAUUAUUUUUCCUGAGCUUUAUUUCUUUAAAAAUGAUUUUUCAUUAGUUUCAGAGCUCUAUUUGCACUACAACUCUUUCAGAAAAUUCUUGAAAAUUUCAACCAAAAUUUGGGGAUGUCAUGUGAUGUUUCCACAUCACUUUUAUGCAAAAAUAUCUUUUGGUCAUUGGAGAUUUUGAGCUCUACACCAAAUUUUCAAAUCUGGUCCAGUAGGUAAUUUUGCACUACAACCUAUUUAAAUAUUUCUUUAAAAAUUCUUCCAAGUGUUUGGAGAUGUCAGUAGAUGCAUAUAAUUCAACUUUAUGCAAAAACCAUGAGUGUUCUUUGAAAAAUUUGAGCAAAUCAUCCUCUUUUGCUCUCUGGUCCAGUUUGGCUUUUUCUACUGCAACCCUAAUUUAGUUUGCUCUAGUGCCCAUGAGCUUUUUCCUGCUUGUAGUCCUCGCUACCAAACCCUUAAGUCCAGGAGAGUGGACCCAUUGGAGUAUUUUUGGUUCAUGCAAUUAUAGCCCUUACUUUCUGUCCAGUAUUGGUUUUCUCAAAAACUUGCUCUAACAAGUUCUUGCUUUUGACAAACUAACCUUGCCACCCUCUUUAUCAUCCAAAGAGACUAUGAUCUGGAGUUUUUGGCCACCCCAAGAGUUACCUAGAUGCCCAUGGCAUUCUGUCGAGCACCUUGUGUUCAUGGACAGCUUUGGCAUAGUUUUAUGUUUGCACUGUGAUCUUGCCCCUCUGGACAAACCAGCAUGUCCACUAGUCUCCUAGCCACCACUAACCUAGACCUGUCAACUACCAGCUUCAUUUAGGCCCUCUAGCACGCGUUGGCAUUUCGUCGAGCACCUGGCGUGUGUGCUCUGGGCGCGGCCAGAGUGCGCGUUUUGCACGUGCGUGCACCCGAGCCGCCGCGUCAUGCCCCUGGCCGUUGCUCGCCCGCAGAGCCGCGCCCGUCCUCAUCCGCUCACCAGAACCCUCCAAGCCCUCCCCUGGCACCCUACAGCACCGCCGUCAGGUCGGCCGUGGCCGCGAGCGGGCGGCCACAACAGCCCCUGCCAUGGACGGCGCCGCCCAAGCCACACACGCGCGCCAGCUGCCCCUGGAACAGCUCGAGCUCAUCCGCGAGCCCGUUAGCUAGCGCUCGUCACCUGGCUAGCAACAGAACGGCGGUUCGCUGGCGUGCUUAUCCGCAGCCGCGGGAACCGACCUCGACCGCCUAUAAAAUGAGCCCCCGAGCUCGUCCAGACCCUCAGGCGACCUCAGGCCAUCUCCCUAGAGCCCCCACAACCAGCAAUCGACGGAGGGAGGCCUUCCUCCUCGUCUCCGGUCAGUUCGGCCGCCGCCACACCCCGGUCCCGUCCGUCACGAGCAGGGCCUCCCUAGUCCUUCCAGCGCCACCGUCCGACUCCCCUCGACCAUACGGAACCACCCAACACCUCAGCCUCGACCAGGUGCCACCGUAGCACAAGCCCCCAAUUGCUCCCGAAACGCUGUCCGCCGUGAAGCUCGCCGCCGGCGAGUCCCUGCAUCCCCGCCAGCCUGUCGACCACAGGGAGGACCACCCUGGACUGGCGGAUCCAUCCCUGCCCUCGGGGCCCCGUGGGUAGCCGCCGUUCGCCGGCGUCGAUCGCCGGAGCCCCGCCAACGCUCGGCCAGAGGAGAAGGAGGCGCGGGCGACUGGUCAAACCUGACCAAUGGGCCCAAAGGACCCACUGUCAGUGACCCACGAGUCGACCCACGCUGACUUUAGUGGAAAUGUAUUCCACCGAAUACGCCUUCGCUAGGGGAAAACGUAAGCCCCCGAACCGUUUUCUUUUUCUGUUUUUUUUAAACAGAACUUUGACUAAACAUUGACUGGCUAUAACUUUUUAAAUAUAAGUCCAAUUGAUUUGAUUCUUUUUCUGUUGUUUCUCAAAUUCUGUCUAGUUUAUUUUUAUAUUUAUUUGAAAAUUUUCCAGACACCUUUUUUGUACUAUUUUAAAAUUAUGUGUUAAUUUAAAUUUCCUCAAAAUAGGAUUUUGGAGAGAGAAGAAAACUUUCAAAAAAGUUUUUGGGAUGCACCCUGCCUCUCCACAACUUGAAGGCAAGCAUUCUGAACCCUGGCAUAAUAUUUUUUUGUGUGGUUACAACACCACCUUGACAUGGAGCAUUUGUUAUUUUAUGUGACGAUACAAUCAUACGCAUGAGUG